This is a long non-coding RNA of Cebus imitator (Panamanian white-faced capuchin), 10988 nucleotides long. RefSeq lists it as uncharacterized. The transcript has 6 exons. Lineage: Eukaryota; Metazoa; Chordata; Mammalia; Primates; Cebidae. The record is from RefSeq and is a predicted model, not a curated record.
UUGUUACCCCCCCACCUUCAGAAGAAAAAUCACCUCACACAAAAACAGCCAAAUAAAGCCACACAGUCCGAGAAGGCCUAUCAAGCGAGAACUGAAGCAGUGCGUGAACUUUGCCUGGCCACUGAAAUUGCAAAAUCUCCAGCUCAUUCGCAGACACACAAUGGGGUCUGGCAAAACCAUUCACAGUCCUGGAUGUGAACUGGGGCCUACGACAGGGAAGGCACCAAGGACAAUGCCAGUGAGGCUGUGUCGAAAGCUGGGCUGUCUCUGAAAUGGUUCUCUCCGAGCAGGCUGAGGGAGAAGAGAACCUCUGUCCAAUUUUAUCUGGAGCCUUGUUUUUCCAAUCAGAGUCAUGGAACAGGGAUGAAAGAGAAGAAUAAAAACAAGCCAAGACCAUCUGAUUAGUUUACAUAGGAGAGACCAGACUCCCAGGAGGGGAAACGCUAUAUCUGUAAGAUAAAGGCUGAGUGGCCUACGGCAUGUCACCUACCCUCCCUAAAUUCGGUGCCCUCACCACCAGCUGGGGCAAGGAUGGCGCUAUCUGCCUGCGCCCUGGACGUCUAUGAGAAUCAAGUACGACUCCUGGUAGCCGGACCCAAGAGAAAACAGAAACCUUUGAAAGACAAACCCAAGGAGACAGAAGUUUCUACUGACUUUCCAGAAGAGGAUUUCAGAAUAGACGAGGCAGUCCCAUGUGGACCACAAGAAUGACUACUGUGCGUUAGGAGAGGCUGUUUUGAGACGUGCAGUGUGUGAUUACUGGAGGACACAAGCGAGGCAUGGAGUAGAAUACACAAACAGGCCAUGGUAAGCUCUCAGAUGAAUUGUCUUGGGCUCCCAGUUAAGCUACAAAUCAAGCUAUUUUUGAAAGAGAAGGACUUUGGCCCAACUCAACACUUUGGUUUCUUACUGUUUACAUCUAUGAGUCAAAAGUGCUUGCUCCCAAGACCCCCGACCAAACCAAAUGAAAAUAAAUUCAACGUAUGCCCACUGAGCCAGGCCUGGGAGUUCUGGAGAUCAACUCAGAAUCACGGUGUUUCUGUCACUCCCAAAACACUCCUACCUACUUCUACCUGUUCCUAAGUAUUGCCUUAGGAUACUGACAGUCUCUUCUCCUACUGACAGAUUUUGAAUGAUAUUAAAGCUAAUCCUCUCUGGCUUGGUUAGGUCUUGUGUAAGAUUCCCACACCCCACAAUCAAGGCCUUGCAAUGUGGUGUUGGAAGAGAUAGCCAAGCUACCACACCUAUAUCACGAUUCGGAUGAGGAUAGUAUUUUUUUUCGCCUUCCAUGAAACAGCUUUGAAAACCUGAGUCACAGAACCUGCCUCAUGCAAAUUCUUCCACUCUCCUCCUCCCUGCCAGUAUAUUGGCACCUUCUUGUUAAAAUGAGCAGAGAAGCAUGAACAAGACCUCGAUGGACCUCAGAAUAAAAUGCAAGAUCUUCAGAUUUCCAUUGCAUGAUUUCACCAGGCCAAGGCAGCCCAGCUUCAUUUUUACAUGCACUGUAGCUCUAAGUAUUUGCAGUGCUAUAACCUGUAAGUAUUUGUAUGCCCACCCAAACCCCCCAAUAUGGAUACUUUACUCACUUAGCUUCUGGUAAGAAGCAUAAACAAAAAGAAUCAAAGAGUAGAAGGCAAGAAACUGGGGACCAAUUUUCAGGUCAUCCUUUCCUUCUUGAAAGAAGGAAUUUGCCUGCAGUGUCUAUAAUUUAGAAGGUUUUAAUGAACGGCUUCUACAUUAUUUAUUACUCAUAGAAAGCUGUAAACAUCCCUCCCUAACCCAUUAUGAUAUUAUCUUGGCAGAAGUCAAAAGGUUCAAACAUUUGGCACUUUUCAUUGGACUGUUGUUGAAAACAGUCGUGCUCUGUGAAUGUAACUUCUCUCCUUCCUUGUUACAUGGGAUUGUGUGUGAGCCUGUGAGCCUGUGUCCGUAUCAUUCACUUGAGAUCGUCAAAAGGCAUCCUGGCUUUGUAAUUUGCUCUUUUGCAGUUUCACCUUAAUAAGAGAUUCCAAAAUUAGUAAAAUAAAAUAAUAAAGUAAAAUAAAGCCAAUUUAAAAAGGCAUCGACAGAAUAUACAAACUGGAUAUUCAAGCAGAAGUGUUUGAAAUGCCUCAGCCUCAUUUCAAAGAGCUUCCUGCUGUCAAGCCCAAACACCCAGACAGGUAGACUGCUGUGAAAUAUGUAGGCGAUGCCUGCUGCCUGAUUUUCAGAUGGCGAGGAGGCAUUUGAAAGCAUCAAAGUUCCCUGUAUAGAUGUGUGUACAUUAAUCUCAGCCUCUGUGAUCUCUGCACUCGCCUAUUGUAACUUGCUGUUUAAUAGAUUGCCAAACUUUGCCCUUCACAGACUGCACAUUUUUUUUUUCCCAAGGAUCUGCUCCUCUCCCAGGAGCUUCUUGCUGGGGCCGAGUUUUAAAAGUUUUCAUUCCUGGGCUUGUGCUAUGGCAUUGGGUCACUCUUUGAAUUCUGCACUUUUGAACACCUCACUUGUUGGCUUGCUUUUCCUCGCCCCUGGUGUCGAUGUCUGUAUGUGGCUAAAGUCAGUGCCCUCCAACCAUGAAGCAUCUGCCAAGAGCCAGCCCUGAUAUGAAUCAUUAACAACCACAGCACUAGCCCUGUAAGAGCCUGUAAUGUGGUGGGAGAGAAGACAGAUCAAAGGCUGUCAACUGGCAGCCCACAGGUUGUGUACGGCCCAUAGACAUGCACUGUUUUGCCUACACUGUGUUUUAAAUUCAGAUUAGUAACGAACACAGAAAGGAUGGGAAAUUUCACUUAGAAAUCUGUGGUGCUUCAAGCUCCUCUUGGAAAAUUGGAAGGUGUGAUUAUACAGGGCUUCCUGCCUGCAUGGGUCCCGUUUUAGUGGGGAUUUGUAUUUUUUUCUAAACUGAGUUGGUGGGACAGAUACCAUUAGGUACCUUAGCCUUGGCUUUCUUGAUAUCUUGAUGUUACCUGCUGGGACAUUGGCCUUUUGAGUCUGUGGUCCAUGAUAAAGACACACACAAAGGCAAAUAAUACUAAGUGGAAUAUUUGGGGGACACCAGCAGGUUCUCUAAACAUGCCAUCUCAUUUGAUCUUUCCAACACAUCUGCAAAUCUUGGAUUAUAAUAACCACUUUACACAGGAAAAAUUGGGGCUUUCUGUUUUUAAGUACCUUGCCCUAUUUCACACAGCUGAUGAUAGAGGAGCUGGGUGUUGGAACUAGAUCUAUCAGCUUUGAAGCAUUCUUCUUUCCAAUUGGAAAUGCAAGAAAGUCCCCAGGAAGGGUGCAGUUUGGGCUCCCAGAUCUUUUCCCGCCGUCACUCAGCUCUGCUCUAGUCUGGACACUUCUCACUGUACCCUAGAUAUUCUUGGCCAUUUGAUCACUUCUUGUGUCUGUGUAUUCUAUUCCCUGUCUUCACCUUCCCUUCUGGACCUGCAAGCCUCUUCUUUCUUUGCAAGACCAAGAUUCAUUGCUAGUUCCUUUAUGAAGGUUUUCAUGACCUCUGGGUCAGUUUUUCUAACACUGGGGCUCCUAGAGGCUCCAUUUUUACUCAAAUGUCUCGUGGUAAAAGGUCAACAUACUGGUUGCUUUUCACUGGACUGUGAGUUCCUAAAGGGCAGGGCCAAAUCUCAUUCAUCACUCCACACCACCACGCCCAGCACAGAUGCCUGACAUGCAGGAAGUACUCCACGCAGGGUGGCCUAUGGGUGGAGCUUUCCAGGCUGAAUCACAUACCUAUCAAGGUCUCCUUGGGGGGAAGUGAAAUUGAAUUGAAAGACAACAGUAAAUUCCAUUUGUGUUUCCAUUUGUUUUCUCAUCCCCCAUCAUGACACCCUUGUUUAUCCUCCAAACUUUCUGCUUAACAAGACUUUGCCACUCUCUGCUCUUUUGCCAGAUGGCAACGCACUCACUCCUUCCAAUACCCAGAUACAUCCAUCAAGCGACUUCGAAUUUGAAACACAUCAGAAACUUGCUGGGCAUGGAACGGGUAAUGAGGAAAUGGCAUAUGUGCACCGUGGGAUCAUGAUGGGGCUGCAAAGUUAAUCAAGAAAGAAACAACUCCACCAAGAGCCUGUUAACAUACCUGAAAGGGUGGGCAGGUUUGCCCAGGUGUGAGCUGUAGGCUGGCUGACUAUCUCUUUCUCAUGUGGGUUAUGGGAAACCAACAUGCCUCCAAAUCACUGGCUGGACCUCAACUGAACUUUCAGUUUUUAUUUUCCACUCCCAUACUAUUUUUGAAAGUGUUAAAUAAUUGCUUCUACAGCUAACCGCUAAAGGCCUCAUUUAACAAAAAUCAAUAUGGAGCAGUACAGACGUGGAAUAAACCAAACCAGAGGCCAAAGCUUAAAAUCCAUCUCACCACUGAAUCAUAAGUGGUAAAAUUAAGAGCAGGUGCACUGACAGACAGAGGUGAAGGCUGCCCUGAUAAAAUGGAUUUUUGUUAUGUCUAAUGAACUCAUCACAUGCAGACAAUGAGAAAGAACUGACCAGGUGGGAGGGAGGAGCUGACUUUGGCAAUGAUGUGUCUUCUCCACAAAAUGAUUAUUUCAAAAAGCAUGCAGAGUAGAGGCUGUAAUGCAUUUAGGGGAGUUUCAAUCGUCAUUAUUUCAUUUCUCAUCCUUGACAAAUCUUCACUGAAUGUGCACUGUGGUUAUUUUUAAAACAUUCACAGUGAACACAGCUUGUGAAACUUUGGUCAUCAUCCUAAUCAGCCAACUGAUGCCCUAUUCAAGAUUGGUGUAUGCCUGCGAUCAUAUUUUAGAACUAUUUUACCUGGCGUGAACAGAGAGUAAAGGAAGGCCAGCUCUUUCUUCUAAUAACAGGUUCUUAACUGUUAGUCCCAGGAAGUAAAGUACAAAGGCAAAUGAACUUCCAUAAUAAAUAUUUAAGAAAGAUACUCUGAGUUAGAAUGAAAGUAAAUGUGCAAACUGCUAUUUGAGAGAAAUGUCUCGAUAAGCCUCUUGCAAAUACGAUAUGAAGCAGAAAGUCUGUUAACUCUUUCUGUCUCGUCUUUAUUCACCAGGGUUAGGUGCUCUUACAGGGUGGGGGGAAUCUGGACUAGUAAUAUCUUGAUGAAGUUGCAAAAACAAAAAGAAAACCCAUUUGUUAGAGCACUGGAGCUGACAUCUGCACCUGUAAGCCAAGAUAAUUACAGAGCUGCUCUGCAAAUUUGGUUAGGGUUUAGGGGAUAAUCUUAGACUAAUAAAAUAAACCAUCCUCGAAUGUUCUGGUCACCAGGUAGCAAAAACCUGCUUAGGUCUCAGUGGAUUUCUUCUUUCUGGUCUCGUUGGGAGUCAGACAUUGAUGUUAUAAAUGCUUAUGCCACGAGUAUCCCUCUCUGAGGUCUGAUAUCCAUUUGGAAUCACCUCGGAAAACUCAACACGACCAGCAGUUUCUUGAAGCAGGCCACCCUCUCUGCUCCUGAAUGUUCUCUGACCAGGUUGGGCCUUCCUUCUCUUCUAAUAAUUAGCCACCCAUUGCCCCCCUCCAAUUUCUUCCAACCCUGUUUCCUACCCCUUGCAUUUUUCUUGCUUCUUUCAUUUUUCCUGUGUAUGCUGACUGCCUAGUUCCUCUUCUACUAAAUUAUGCUCUAUUAUUUCCACAGCCUGAAGAACUCACAGCUGAAGCAUUAUUUCUAACCUUAUUUUGUAUUCCUAGCAUGUGCUAUAACCUGUUUUGAGUUUUAUUUGCAGCCAAGAUGCUGACACAGCUCCAAUUUUGUUUUCAUAUUUUGAUUGGGUAGGAGUGUUCAUUACUGUGGGUACUAGGGUAGGGAGGAAAAGUCAUUUUAAAAAGGCACAAUUUACACCUUCCUUAAAGAGCUUUUUGUUUAUGAAUGCUGCCCAUUUAAAAUCUAAAAAUUACAAAUGUUCAAAAAAUAUAUUCCUUUUUUUUUUCUUGGAGAAAAAGGUUUUAAUGAAAAUUGUAGUAGUCCAGUGUGAUUUUCCUAUUCUGUUUUUUAUGUCAUGCCUAUUAUGUCUGAUUUCCUUUUGUGUUUCUUAACUGACCAGCAGACACAGGCAGGUGUGGAAAGCCUAUAAGUCAGGGGUGUGUAAGAAAUGAGGUUUUCAAAGCCCAGUUCAGCUCUACACUAACCAGCCUUCCCAGGGACAAAUGCCUCAUUUGUGUCAUUAUUGAAUGCAUGGUUCAUAUUAAGCUUAUAUCUCAUAACCAGGUAAUUCAUGAGUUUCAGCUACAGGGAACCCCUUAGCUGGGGCAUAAAAUUUCUAAUGAGCUUUCCCAUAAAGGAAAGCGUAGGAUGAGUGAGGUUUCAUGCUCCUUUAUGUUUGUUUGUUUUUUAGAGACCCAGUCUUGUUAUGUUGCCCAGGCUGGAGCUCAGCAGCUACACACAGGCCCAAUUAUAGUGCACUUUGGCCUCAAACUCUGGGGUGCAAGAGAUCCUCCUGUCUCAGCCUCCUGAGUAGAAGGGACUACAGGGGCCCAUCACCAUGCCUGGCUAGUUGUCACAGUUCUUGCUGUAUGAUUCUCAGGCUCGUUAUUGGAAGAGAUUUAAUUUCAUGGGACUCCUCUAACUCCAAAAUCUUCAAGAACUCUACAGUUAAGGUUGUCAGAUCAAAUACAAGAUACCCAGUUACAUUUGAAUCUCAGAUAAGCCCCAAAUAAUACUUUGGUGUAAGUAUGUCACAUGCAAUAUUUGGGACAUAAUUAUAUCAGAAAUUAUUCAUUGUUUAUCUGAAAUUCAAACCUCUCUGGGCAUCUUGUAUUCUUAUUUGCCAAAUCUGGCAACUAUAUCCACAGUGCAUACAGGAACAAGAUUUAACUCUUAAGGUAGGUACUUCUGAGUCCCACUUAGGCGGACUCUCUUUUCUUUCUGCCUUAUUUUCUGCCAUAUCCAACUCCCCCUAUCCUCCCAUCCUCCAUUCCACUGAGUUUUGAGUUACUUUCCCAGCUGGAAUGCCUCCUUUCCUUCUUGCCCUGGAUUACUCAAGACUGACUCCUCAGGGAAGCCUUCCCUGAACACACAGCCAAAAGUAAUCUCUUGGUUCUUUUAGACCAGGGAGCUCGUUCUGGGUGGACCAUUCAUUGGUACAUUUCACACACUUGCCUGGGAGCUUCAGCUAACAUUUCAUCGGUACACUGCAUACUGCAUUCUUUCCAAGAAGGCACAAGCUCUUGGGUAGCAGUGACCUUGCCUUACACUUCUCUGUGUGCUUUGCAGUGUCCAGCACUAGGCCCUUCAUAUAGUUGGUGCUCAUGAGAUACUUACUGAUAAAAAGACCACUAUUGAUUGUCACUGAGCUGCUCUCUUUUGCAGCUUCACGUCUCUCACACUUAUUUCCCUGCAUUGAGGGAGGGCUCAACCCCAUCUCCACAAUGUGAGCAUGAACUCCAUCACAUACCUCAUUAAAAACCUGGUAGCCAGGUUCAUUUCUUAUGGACAAGUGAAGAAUAAGUAAUGCAAACUCAGUCUUACGUGGGCAAGCCACUUGUUCUCUCUGCAGAUUAGUUGUCUCAUCUGGGAGAAAGGCCUGGUUCCUCCCCUACCUCUAAGGGUCAUGAGGAUACAUGAGAUCUUGGGAAAACAUAGAUAGGAUGGUGCUGGAGUACAUUUAAUGGUGAGGCCAAGAACAUGGAAUAAACAUUUCUAAGUAUAUUGUUUAAACCGGAUGCUUGAGUUUCUAAUGAGAAUUUCAGGGCAUAUGCCAGCAUCAAAUUUUCAAAUUAUGGCUGACAAGGUGGGAUUUUUAAAAAUAACACAAUUGGAGACAAAAGCAGCUGGCAAGCAGAUGGCAGGAUUCUCUUGCUAACCUAGGGUACUAUGUCUUGGCCACUGGAAAUUUAUACUUACAAGCUAUCUCAUAUGAUUGUCUGGAUUUUAGAAUUAUGCCAAAAAACAAAUUUCUGGGAAAAAACAAUAGAGUAUUAAUGUCAGCUUUGAGUUUCUUUAAAAACUGUUUUAAAUGUUUUUCUUUAAAAAAAAAAAACUGUUUUGCUUUUCCUCAUAUGGGUCCCCACACUUACCUUGUAUGAGUCAUCAUCUCAUGCACCAGGGCUUUUAAAAUAUGAUAAGUAAAGCAAGACAUCUACUGUAUAUCUUGUUAGGAGCUUGCUUUUCCUUUUGGCUCUUGUGGCGCUACAGGAAAGAUGGUGAGGCGUUCAUGCACCCGUGUGCCACAAUGGCAAGGUGAGCCACACGUAGGGGCCAUACUAGCCACAAUUGCCUAGAAAACAUCAUUUCACUGCUGGAUCUACAGGCAACCCAUGUACUGUGAUUCCUCCUCCUCACACCCACAUUCCAGGCUCAAUUAGUGGAAUCCCAGUCUUACAUCCAUACCACAGCAGCACAUUAAAAUGUCUCCGAUUAAGCCCUGGAUUAGCAUGUGCCCAGGCUUUAUCUUAAUUGCCGAUUAAGAUUAAUCCCGCUAGGGAGUUUUCCAGGGCUGCUUUAUUACCAUGGGGUGAAUCAUUACACAUUUUGAGUUGCAAGUUCCAUUUAGCUUCCUUUGACUAAAAUGGGAGACCCAGACUCUCUUGGCUUCUAAGGACGGGGCUCUUUACUGCUUUCUGAAAACCUCCCUUGACAGCUCAUUUGCACCUGAAGGUUGGGGGGAUGAAGCCUUGAUCCCUCUUGACAAGUCUAUGAAAACUGGAACACAGGGAGUCACAGGCUUUCUGGCAGGCUCUUGGCUUUAAAUAUCUACAGUGAACUUUGGCUUGAAGAAUGAUCUUUAUAUACUUGGUGCUGGCUUUAUCAUUCAUAGUGAUUUACUUAAAACCCUUUUUUCUCUCUCUCUUUCUCUGGCUCUAUAUGAAGGUACAUAAUUUGUUUUCUGGACCAUUUGAGGAUAUGGUAUAUACGUGGUCCUUUAGCUCUGCAUACUUCAGUGUGUGUUUCCUGAGAAUGGGAAUAAUCUCUUACAUAACCACAGCUCAGUUUUGAACUUCAAAAAUUUACAUUGGUACUUUUACCAAUACUGAUUUUACUAAUAAUUUUACCAAUACUGAUUUACUCCGAAAUCUACUUCACUAAGUGAUACCCCAAUACCUAUUAAGUCUGGUUACAGAAAAGGGGUUGGAAUUGAGAGCAAGAGAAUUCUGCAUGUUAGAGGUAAAGAAAUGAGACCUAGAAAAGAGAAGUCACUUAGUGAAGGUCACACAGUGGCAGAAGAGUCCAGAUAAACUCAGGAACUCAGGGGCAACUUCUAGCCAUUGAAUGGAGAAGCUCAUAAAGACUCAAGAAAGGUCAGGUCAGUAACGACUUUGGAAACAUCCAGUGCUACCUGGUCAAUCAGACUUGACACUACCCUACCUAGACAUGGAAAUUUUCCAACUGCAAAGGCCAAGAGCUCUGUUUUUGAAAGGGUAUGCUUCACAUUUAUGUGAUGCAUAAGAAAGACUUGAUGAUAGUUGUGCCUGCUUCACUGAAACAGGGAUUCUCCCAGCUUUAAGAUACUAAUUGGUCAUGGAAUUCGGUUUGGCCCUCUGGGGAGGCAUAAGUCAGAAGCAUUCAGCAGCAAUGUGGAGAUCACUAACGUGGCACAGCUGUGAGACCUUUUGAUACUAGCACGUGCCUUUGGCCUGACUCAGACUGGAGAACCUGGUAGACACCCAUGGCCAUGGCUCCUGGGGAUUCCUAAUAGAGCAGUUCCCUGCUUUCUACCCCAGGGAACCUGAUCAUGUUACUGCUCUGAACGGAUCGGCUUUGGUCAGAGAUCUGGGUCAGCUGAGUCUGUGUAGCACUUUUCAAUGUCAAGACCAGUCAUGAUACUCAUCAUCAAAUGUAUUGCCCCAUUCUGUGAUGUCUCCAUUUGAGAAUCUGUCCUAAUCGAAGAGCCAACACUGGUAACAGUUUUAUCCUGUUUUAUCCUGACAGGCCAUCAACAGACUUCAGAAGAAUCACAGAGCUCCAGUCUCCUUCCCAGAUCCCCCACCAGGCAUCCCUUCCUAAGAAUUCAUUCUCACAUGGCUGUGGGUAUUCCCGCUUCUGCUAGUAGAGUGCAUGCCAAGAAAAGAGAAAGCCCCUCUCUGGUUUCCCAACCCUGCUUACUGCCCUGGGCGGCUGGCUACCAGUCUUAGAAGUAUUUGGGAGUCCUAAUGGAUGCACCCAUAACUAGGUAACACAAAUACCCCAAAGUCUUUAUCUUCCUUUACACUAAAGCCCUGAGAUGUACCACACUGGUCACUGGUAUUUCUGAACGGACAGAAGUCGUUUGCAGGUCUCUUUCUAAAGGUUGUAGUCUGCCACUCUCAUGGUAAUUUCACCCUAAAGCAGAGCAUAAGAAUUGAGGAUGAAAGCUUUUUCUUUUGUUGAACCCACAGUAUAACCAUGUUCCUUAGAUUCUAUUACAAAACAACCAUUGGCUUUAACUGGAAACUUGAAAAUUUAGGGUAAUUAUAGUAUCAAUUCAUGAUUACUCAACACAUUUCCUCAACUUCCUUUGUGACUGAUAUUUUGAAUAUGUUACUGUAACAUUCGUUGAAGAAAGUGUGCUGUCCUGAAACAAGUGAGGCCUAAGACACCCCACACGUCUAAGAUUUCUCACCUAUGAAUCAUGCGGCUGCCAAAAUCUCUUUCACCUUCUUUCUUCUUUCAAUCCUUCUCUCUUAAGUUCCCUAAACUGUGUCAGGCUUCCUGAAUUUGCCUUCAGCACUAGCAGUAACACGACUCUAAAUGGAUGAGUUUUCCAUGUUAUUCUGGUCCAAGCUGCAAAUGAUUAGAUUCCCUACCGAGCCCUGAUGGCAGUAUGACUGGGCUUUAACUUGAUGGGACUGACUUCGUUAAUAGAAUUCUCUCUUCAGUUGUUUGACUAUGUUAAUGUUGCUAGAAGGGGGAAAAAAAACCACCCUGAUUUUCCUAUAUGUAAGCUGUUUUCAAACUUGUGUGGGGGUUCUCCCAAACAGAUCUGCAGUUUUCUUCCUAUGGAGAUACUACAAUUACACGUUCCUUUUUCUCUUUAUUAAAACUCGUAUCUUGCUAGGCACUCUGCCAGGAGUACUGAAAUUUAGUCCUGAUAAAAAUCCUUCUUGGAUAUUUCUGGUCUAAGCUUUAA